RNAcentral lists this ribosomal RNA (1377 nucleotides) under human gut metagenome. RNAcentral describes it as "bacterial LSU rRNA". It matches the Rfam family "Bacterial large subunit ribosomal RNA", at positions 1559 to 2912 of the family's 2925-position model. The record is from RNAcentral.
AGGCGUGAUGACGAGGCACUACGGUGCUGAAGCAACAAAUGCCCUGCUUCCAGGAAAAGCCUCUAAGCAUCAGGUAACAUCAAAUCGUACCCCAAACCGACACAGGUGGUCAGGUAGAGAAUACCAAGGCGCUUGAGAGAACUCGGGUGAAGGAACUAGGCAAAAUGGUGCCGUAACUUCGGGAGAAGGCACGCUGAUAUGUAGGUGAAGCGACUUGCUCGUGGAGCUGAAAUCAGUCGAAGAUACCAGCUGGCUGCAACUGUUUAUUAAAAACACAGCACUGUGCAAACACGAAAGUGGACGUAUACGGUGUGACGCCUGCCCGGUGCCGGAAGGUUAAUUGAUGGGGUCAGCGCAAGCGAAGCUCUUGAUCGAAGCCCCGGUAAACGGCGGCCGUAACGAUAACGGUCCUAAGGUAGCGAAAUUCCUUGUCGGGUAAGUUCCGACCUGCACGAAUGGCGUAAUGAUGGCCAGGCUGUCUCCACCCGAGACUCAGUGAAAUUGAACUCGCUGUGAAGAUGCAGUGUACCCGCGGCAAGACGGAAAGACCCCGUGAACCUUUACUAUAGCUUGACACUGAACAUUGAGCCUUGAUGUGUAGGAUAGGUGGGAGGCUUUGAAGUGUGGACGCCAGUCUGCAUGGAGCCGACCUUGAAAUACCACCCUUUAAUGUUUGAUGUUCUAACGUUGACCCGUAAUCCGGGUUGCGGACAGUGUCUGGUGGGUAGUUUGACUGGGGCGGUCUCCUCCUAAAGAGUAACGGAGGAGCACGAAGGUUGGCUAAUCCUGGUCGGACAUCAGGAGGUUAGUGCAAUGGCAUAAGCCAGCUUGACUGCGAGCGUGACGGCGCGAGCAGGUGCGAAAGCAGGUCAUAGUGAUCCGGUGGUUCUGAAUGGAAGGGCCAUCGCUCAACGGAUAAAAGGUACUCCGGGGAUAACAGGCUGAUACCGCCCAAGAGUUCAUAUCGACGGCGGUGUUUGGCACCUCGAUGUCGGCUCAUCACAUCCUGGGGCUGAAGUAGGUCCCAAGGGUAUGGCUGUUCGCCAUUUAAAGUGGUACGCGAGCUGGGUUUAGAACGUCGUGAGACAGUUCGGUCCCUAUCUGCCGUGGGCGCUGGAGAACUGAGGGGGGCUGCUCCUAGUACGAGAGGACCGGAGUGGACGCAUCACUGGUGUUCGGGUUGUCAUGCCAAUGGCACUGCCCGGUAGCUAAAUGCGGAAGAGAUAAGUGCUGAAAGCAUCUAAGCACGAAACUUGCCCCGAGAUGAGUUCUCCCUGACUCCUUGAGAGUCCUGAAGGAACGUUGAAGACGACGACGUUGAUAGGCCGGGUGUGUAAGCGCAGCGAUGCGUUGAGCUAACCGGUACUAAUGAACCGU